AUGACAAGUUCUUUCACAGCAAGCAGCAAUUGGGUGCUCUGUGUACAACAUUCCCGAGUAGUGUCUGUCUUCAGUUCGUGCAAUUUUGUCCGUUAUGGUCUUUUGCUCCAGCUGGUAUCACAAUGCAAUGGCGGUGGGACAAGCAUCAAUCGCGGGACAAAAAUUCACAACCUAUUUUUUUGUUGCCUCGUUCCCCUUCUGAACCAAUAUCAUAUACUUCAGCUAGUGGCGAUCACCUUGAGCAAAUGUGGGACCCUGGAGGCCUUGCGAGCUAUAUAUGCAGUACAUGUGCAUCGACUUCCCUGA
Molecule: ribosomal RNA, 306 nt
Filed under: Triticum aestivum (bread wheat)
Lineage: Eukaryota; Viridiplantae; Streptophyta; Magnoliopsida; Poales; Poaceae
Description: partial small subunit ribosomal RNA
Source: RNAcentral